RNAcentral lists this transfer RNA (61 nucleotides) under Antricola mexicanus. RNAcentral describes it as "tRNA-Thr". The record is from RNAcentral. Lineage: Eukaryota; Metazoa; Arthropoda; Arachnida; Ixodida; Argasidae.
ACUAUAAUAGUUUAAAAAAAACAAGGAUUUUGUAAAUCCUAAUUGAUUAAAUCUUAUAGAA